GUCAAUAAGGCACAAGUAACUUCCGGCCGUAUGUCAACAUAGCAGAAGCGUACGACGUCCUGGAAUUUCAAGAACUUGACGGUGUAAUAGAUCUUUUCUUUGCUAAAGAUUUGUUUGAGACAUCUCAACCUGUCGUUCCAGUAGCAUCCAUUCAAACUAAUCCAGUUAAAUUUAAUGGGAAAGUUCAAGUAGUGGUUAUAUGAAAAAUGAUCUGAUGUUCACAUGAUCUCAAGGGUUUGCCGAACCUCAAUCGAGUUUAACCUCAACAAGGAAUAUUAUACAUCAAAACUUGUCAUCUGCCUGUGCAUUUUCUAGUAUAAGUUUAUCAUCAUUUGGAACAAAUGGUUAAAUUACUAUUCAAGAUGACUAAUUUAAAAAACAAGAACAACAAUAUGUGGUUGGAAUGAUCCAAGGCUCUGUUCAAAGAUAUAUUAUACACAUGACAGUGAUGCUUGUUAAAUAAAACUUGUGAAUUUAACAGAUAAUGACCAUUGAUAAACACUAAAGGCAAAUAGAAAUGCACAAAAAAAUCCAUAAGCUUAUGAUAAUAAUGAUUAAACAUACAUUAUGCAAGAGCUAAAUCUGCCUAUUGCAGGUUUUCUUUAGGCCUGAAAUGUUUUCUAAAUUAUUAAUUAGACAUUAAUUAACUUAUCCAGGCCCUAAUCAACUCUCGAUGGCAUCGGAUUUCUCCAAUAUUAAAUAGAUUAGAACAGUUCAGCCAUAUUUUGAUUUAAGCUAAAAAUGGAGGAGUGAGACUACUUCGAACAACCAGUACGAUGGUUGAAAUUAUUGCACACGUCUUGUCAAACCUUCAAAGGCCUUCAAAGGCUAAUAUCUUCGCUCGCAAUAGAGUAAUUUGAAUGAAAUUUUCAAAUUAUUCAUUUUACUUUAUUUAUCUUCGAACUAUUAUAGCAAGAAUGGCUAGCUCUUUAUCAAAAUCUUACAUAAUGUAUAUUUAAGAAUAAUUUAAUACAUUUAUAAAGCUCACACAUUACAAGUUGUGCACCUGUAUAAAAUUUGUAUAAAUUUUGUUAUCAUUGUUAAUAUUUUAUACUGAGAUGCAAUAAAAAUAAUACAUCACUUUUAUAAAUGGAUGAAUGUAAAUCUUGUUUGAAAUGAAUCCAGGUUUAACGCCCUACUUAGUACUUUUCAGCUCAAUUUUGUUUUAAAGAUUUGCUUUAAUCUUGCAAUUAAGGAUGUAACAACAUCAUAUUACGAUGAUAACAUGUGAGAAUGUUUUGAAGAUUGCGUAAACGCACCCCGAACAAUUCUCAAUCAAAAAAAUUAAACCCAACAGAAUCAGUAUGUUGAUUUUUCUGGUACACACGUGGGGUAUAUAAUGCAGCUUUUAAAAAGCUAGGUUUUGUGCAACUGUGGAAGGUGCAAAGUUAUGCCACGUCAUCUCAGAGGUGCUAUUUCAUUGCGUCUCGAUAUAUUUUGUUUACAAUUAUCAACCUGGCCCCAAGUUCACAAAGCAUUCCCAGACUUAAUAAUUUGCUCAACUUUCAAUCAUUGUUUUUGAGAAAUAUCUUUGAUCCAGAAACACAAAACUUUGCACAUAGUUUCUUAUUGAUAUAUUUACAUUAAAACAACAAUAGUUAGUAAAGUGCUAUAUUUAAGUUAAAAUAAGACAAACAAUUUUGAGUAAAACCUUAACUUAAGACUGAGAAUGCUUUGUGAACUUGGGGACUUGUUUUCUUUUCAUUACUUAUUAUCUACAAUACAGUAAUAACAAGAAAUAAAAAAUCUGUAGAACACUGCUGAUUAAGUUCUAGAUUUAAUCCUAGAUUCAAUCCCAUUUAUAUUUUUAUACUUCCAAUAUCGAUAUUAAUUCCAAUAGAGCCAGGUGAUGUUUAGUUUAAUUAUACACUUUCUAUUUUGUUGUAUGAAAUUAUCUGUAUAAUCUGUGUUUUUGUUACUUUCAUUGUGUGAAAUGCUUGCAGCAAAGUGCUGUAAAUAAAAUACCUGACAUCACUGAUCACAGUUUAACUCUAUAACUUCUCAUUUGACCUCAAAUCUAUGUGGAGUGGAGUCAGUUGGAAGAAAUAAAUCAAAAUGGAGUGAAAUCUACAUUUUAAUCAAAUUCGUACCACAUGAUUAUAUUCUAUCACUUUUUGCUCGUUUAUAUGGCAACUAUAUAUUAUUGCUAAGCUAUUUUUGAAUUGUAAAUUACAUUUACAAGUAUGUAAAUAUUGAUUCUUUGAAUUAUAUAUUUUCAAUCAAAAUCUGAAUAUGCAAUGUGCUAUGUAGCCAUAUAUGUGAAAUAAACUAUUAUUAUUGCUAUUUACUUUCUCUGUAAAUC
This is a long non-coding RNA of Patella vulgata (common limpet), 2302 nucleotides long. RefSeq lists it as uncharacterized. NCBI's taxonomy places the organism in Eukaryota, Metazoa, Mollusca, Gastropoda, Patellidae. The transcript is spliced from 3 exons. The record is from RefSeq and is a predicted model, not a curated record.